AUUGAACGCUGGCGGCAUGCCUUACACAUGCAAGUCGAACGGCAGCGCGGGGGCAACCCUGGCGGCGAGUGGCGAACGGGUGAGUAAUAUAUCGGAACGUGCCCUAGAGUGGGGGAUAACGUAGCGAAAGUUACGCUAAUACCGCAUACGAUCUAAGGAUGAAAGUGGGGGAUCGCAAGACCUCAUGCUCGUGGAGCGGCCGAUAUCUGAUUAGCUAGUUGGUGGGGUAAAAGCUCACCAAGGCGACGAUCAGUAGCUGGUCUGAGAGGACGACCAGCCACACUGGGACUGAGACACGGCCCAGACUCCUACGGGAGGCAGCAGUGGGGAAUUUUGGACAAUGGGGGCAACCCUGAUCCAGCAAUGCCGCGUGUGUGAAGAAGGCCUUCGGGUUGUAAAGCACUUUUGUCAGGAACGAAACGGACUGAGUUAAUACCUUGGUCUAAUGACGGUACCUGAAGAAUAAGCACCGGCUAACUACGUGCCAGCAGCCGCGGUAAUACGUAGGGUGCAAGCGUUAAUCGGAAUUACUGGGCGUAAAGCGUGCGCAGGCGGUUAUGUAAGACAGAUGUGAAAUGCCCGGGCUUAACCUGGGAACUGCAUUUGUGACUGCAU
Molecule: ribosomal RNA, 615 nt
Filed under: uncultured bacterium
Lineage: Bacteria
Description: bacterial SSU rRNA
Rfam family: Bacterial small subunit ribosomal RNA
Source: RNAcentral